UAGAAUCCAGACCUCUUGACUCCUAGACUUGUACUUUAACCACAAACUCAUCCUUCUUCCCUUAAAUAUUCAAGAAGUUGAAAGCCACACAGCAUCAACAAGUCAAAGAUCUGAGCGAUGCUUGCCUUAGAUUUUAUAAAAUUCUGUGGCUCCAAAAUGGACUAGCAUUUCACAAACCUGAACUGACAAUAAAGAAAGAGACUGAAGACAUACAAAGAACGGUCUAUGUUUACAGCAUUAAAGGAUAUGUUCUUUGCUGUUGCGGUGCUGUGACUCAAAUCACUAAGGUGCUGAAAAGCCAAAGGAAUUCUCUUGCUGCAUGGGUCUGCACUUGCACCAAGAAAAUUAUUAUAUUGGAGUGUGUCACAUCAGUGUACUCACAGGCAGCAUCAAAUAGGGAGAAAAGGUCAUGCUGUAUCUGAUUCAAAACUGGUAGAAAAUAGUACCUUGAAGAUCCCCGCUGCGCUCAGCAGCAGAGGGCUGAGUAAUUAAACGGAACACAACAGCACUCUGACAUACAUUAAUUCCCCUGAUAGUUAUUUCUGUUGUUUGGUGCAGUACCAAAAGGACAGGAAGAACAGUGAUAAUUUUCUGUGGGAUUUUUAUUUUUCGUCUUAGUAGCAUAAUCUCAUUCUUUUUAAAGACACUUGAUGAAUUAACUUUGUAGGUAAAAGCCAGUGAAUUACAUUUCAUUUCUGCCUUGCAGAAUUAACAAUAAUUUUCCUCACGUUAGCCAGCCAGAAAAGUCUUCCUCAAUAUUGCCAUUGGGCAAUAUUGUCUCCAUAUCAUUUGCAGAAGUUGCAGAAUAGCUAAAAUAUAUCUGCUACCUAUGAUUUUCUUGAUGCCUCCUAUUACUUGUAUUGCAAUCGUGCCUAGGUGACCUGGCACAGGCUGCGUUCCUCUGGGCUGGCCAGUUCUUGACACAGAAACAUCCUUGUCCAAAGAAUUUGUGAGAAAUGGAAGAAGAGAGAGUGAAGAAGACCACUGAGACUUUCAGGCCCAGCUCCUCAGACUUUUCCUUACCAUGAAAUGACACCGCAGUGUUUUUCUCUGUUACCAUGGCAUUCUGCAAACAACUCCAGCAGACUAGCUAGAAAUGAAGUGGGCAAACCUCUAAAAGUUUGGCAGUUUGAAUAAACGUCUGUGAGGAUCUGGCUGGACUUGGGGACAGACUGUCCUUUGGAAAGAAACCACAGAAACUGGUAGAGACGCACCCCUUUCCUAUGGGCCUCUGCGGAGUCUGGAGGAAAGGGUAUGAGGCAAAUAAGAUCUAUAACCAGAACAGUUGAGAGAUGGGGGAGUGGCUGGAAAAAAGUGUCCCAUGGUGAGGGAUCUUGUACAGUGCAGAAAGGUAGAAGGGAUUAGAAAACAAAGAGAUGAAUGGAGGAGACCAGAGCAAGGUGCUCUCUAUUCCACAAAGAAGAGCAGGAUGCAUAUUAUAGAUCAUGUAUGAUCACAGUCAUGGGCGUCACAGGGAACCUCUUGGAAGGCUUCCAGGCCUGAGGUCUUGGAGGAGGGCAUGUUCUCCUGAAACAUAUUACCAGCUGCAAAAGAAGCAGGAACCACAGAGCUGUAAACUGAAGAUACUAAUAAUCUGCACUCUGGGCAGAAUUAUAGGAGUUCAUUUAGGAAACUACUGGGAGCAGAAAGAAGCAGAGUGAACCCUGCUAGACCAUUAAGUCAUAAAUAGCUGGAGCUGUCUGCCUUUCCCAAGGCUAUUCUUAUUUCUGUUCCUAAAGCUUCCUGUCACAGCUUACGUGAGAGUUUAAGUCAGCCUUUUGGGUUGGGAUGGGCAUUUUUUUCCUGAAUAAGCAGUACAUAUAAUAAUACGUAUAUUGCUUCAGGUAAUGCCUCCCUUUCCAGGAAGCAGUGCUGUUCAGAAGGGACACACAGUGAUCACAGGGAUGGCGAGGCCAUUGGCCAGCCUCCUCUCCUGGGUGACUUGACUGAAUGUGGCAGGGUGUUGGAUGCCUUGCAUCUGUGUGUUCCCGUUCUGAUGCUAUUAUGUACGCAUCCCAGGCUCAGCUGAGGCUGCCAGCAGGAAUAACCCAAAAUGCCACGACAAUGACUGUUUUGUUGGUUUUUAUGGAACUGAAUCCCAGGAGUACUGGAAAUCUUCAAAUACAGCUUUUUCCCAUAAAAAGAAACUUCCAGAUACAUGAGCUCUGAGUGUUUGUGAACAAGCAAUGUUUGGCUAGUAAGCUUGCUCUUUUGAUGUCUGCCACUUGUCAUCUGAUUUAUAAUAAAUAGGUAAUAAGUUGCUAAAUACCAUA
This is a long non-coding RNA of Falco peregrinus (peregrine falcon), 2273 nucleotides long. RefSeq lists it as uncharacterized. The transcript has 2 exons. The record is from RefSeq and is a predicted model, not a curated record. Lineage: Eukaryota; Metazoa; Chordata; Aves; Falconiformes; Falconidae.